Long non-coding RNA from Hyla sarda, 427 nucleotides. RefSeq lists it as uncharacterized. The record is from RefSeq and is a predicted model, not a curated record. NCBI's taxonomy places the organism in Eukaryota, Metazoa, Chordata, Amphibia, Anura, Hylidae. The transcript has 4 exons.
CAUUUUUAUAUCAGAACUUCAAUAGGACUCAGACCUAUAAAAGAGACAGCUUCUGAGACACUUGUUUACCUCCCUGAUCUCCUCGCAACCUCUCUGGUGUGGCUUGUGGUACAAUAUCCCUUGAUAUUGGGAGGGUCAUACGAGAGCUGUUAGUUUGAAGGACAAAUUAUUGACUGCGGACAUCUCACUGAAAACUGUCCAGACACAGAGCUACAUCACUAUACAGAAGAAAGUAACAUCUUUAGAUUGAACUACACUCACCGGACUAUGAAAUUCUCUAUGUGUUUAGUUUAAUAAAUAUUUUAUUUUAGUUUUAGUUUUUUCUGCUUUUUCAUGGAUGGGGGGGUGAUUUACUGAGCGUGACUUGAUAAGUGGUUGUCGAUGGCAACACUCAUAGGUUAUUUUUUCAUCACUACCUUUAUUUACU